GACGAACGCUGGCGGCGUGCUUAAUACAUGCAAGUCAACUGAACUUGAAGUAGCAAUAUUUCAAGGGAGGUGGCGCACGGGUGAGUAACACGUAGGUAAUCUGCCUUUAGGUCUGACAUAAUUCCGCGAAAGCGGGACUAAUUUCAGAUGAUGCAGCGGCUCGACAUCGAGACAGUUGUUAAAUCUUCGGAGCCUAAAGAUGAGCCUGCGUCUGAUUAGGUAGUUGGCGGAGUAAAAGCCCACCAAGCCUGCGAUCAGUAGCUGGUCUGAGAGGAUGAUCAGCCACACUGGAACUGAGACACGGUCCAGACUCCUACGGGAGGCAGCAGUAAGGAAUAUUGCUCAAUGGCCGAAAGGCUGAAGCAGCAACGCCGCGUGGAGGAUGAAAUACUUUUGUAUGUAAACUCCUGUAAGAAGGGAAAAUAAUUCCGAUUUAUCGGGAUUGAUUGUACCUU
Molecule: ribosomal RNA, 455 nt
Filed under: uncultured bacterium
Lineage: Bacteria
Description: bacterial SSU rRNA
Rfam family: Bacterial small subunit ribosomal RNA
Source: RNAcentral